RNAcentral lists this long non-coding RNA (2898 nucleotides) under Nicotiana tabacum (common tobacco). RNAcentral describes it as "long non-coding RNA (NTAB_LNC011579)". Lineage: Eukaryota; Viridiplantae; Streptophyta; Magnoliopsida; Solanales; Solanaceae. The record is from RNAcentral.
CACGGUUACGUGUCAUCUCUCAUUGUGCAAAAAUAUCAUUUAUCUUUUUUCCCCUGAUCUUGCAGACUUUUUCCCCGGAUUCUUUAAACUUUUGAAAGCAACUUUUACUUAUCCUAAUGAAUGCGUCUCUUCAUCUUCUAACUUAUUUCUUCCAAUUAUCUAUUCCAUUCUUCUUCAGUCACAACGCCUCCCUCUCACACCACUUUUACAACUCCUAAUGAACAAGAAUUUCUCAUCUGGCGGAGGUAUUAGGGUAUGGAUUAAUCCCCUAGACAGAGGAUAAAGAACAUGGAUUGCUUUCUCCACGGAGGAUUAGGGCUUCAUCCCCAAUAAGGAUUACACAGCGCAAGGUAAAUCUCCUCUUUCUACUUAUACCAUUUUUCGGUAUUCAUAUUCUACGUUCUCCAUUCUUUCUUUAUUUCAGGUAACUUGUACCAACCAAAUUUACAUUUCUUGGUUAUUUUUUUGGCCCAUUUUUGCGAGAUUCCUUUAAUCUUGAAUGGAAUAAACAUAAAUUACAUUCUUUGCACAUGGAAGAUUUGAAAAUUGACAGUAAUUAAUUUUCUUCAGCUAUUGAACGAGCAGAGAACGAGAUUAUAAGGAGCGCACCCAAUUGAAGAUGAACAAUAUGUGGAGCAUAUGUUACCAUCUUUUGCAUUGUUUUUCGGGGAAAAUGAUGUAUACUUUACUUUGUCUUCCCUCUUUACUUUGUUACAUUAUCAGACUAUUUGUGCAUAUAUAUGUAAGGAUGCAUUAAGGAUGCAUUAAGGAUGCUCUAUCUAUUUUUAAAAUAUGUCGCGAAUCUUCUAACCUCUCUGUGAUCUUAGGCGAGACCAUGCAUCCUUUCAUAUAAAGGGGACACGUAAUGUCUGACACGGCAGAGGAAAUCUAUAGAGAAGAAGCAAUCUCCGGUUAUGGGAAAUAUUGGCUGGUACAAAUUCUUCUUGUUUGUCGGUGGUUAAUUCCAUGCGUCUCUGUAUUAAAUCCUUUUUUCCCUUUUUUUUUUUACGUUAGUUUUUGGCAGUGUACGACUACAAGUCUCCCAGCUUGGGAAUUUGGAUGAAACUGUUUAAUCUUCUUUUUCUAUUCCAUUUGGAUGUUAUCGUGUUUGUCUAGAAAGCGUGAUUAGUGGCAUGUAUGAGGUCAAGGAUAGGGAUUCGGGCGAAACUUUGUAUCCUCUCCUUCUUCCUUUCCAUUUAGCUUUCACAGUAUUUUUCUUGAGAGUCUGAUUUACGUUUAAGAGAAAAAGACUUAAAAAUAAAAAACUGUGACAACGAAGUUACUUUGUUUGAUUGUUUACAAGAAAGAAUCACCAGUUAAGAAUAAUCUUCCUCUUUACCUUCUGUUCUUCGAGCCAAAAAUUCAAAUAGUAACUAAUUGUAGCAAAGUUGGAUGAAGAAAGAAAAUUGAAAAAAAUAGAUGAAGUGGAAGGGAAAAAGAAAGAAGGAGACAGAGUGCCAGGAGGAUGUGAGAGGUAGUGGGUGAAAAAGAUUCAGAGAGGUUCCAAAGAUAAUAGAUGAUUAUACUUAAAAAGUGUAGAGUCGUAGGUUUUUUACGAUUGUCAGAAGCAAUAUAUAAGCCUUAAUAGAAAGGUCGCAAAAUACAUUAUUCAAUCAGUUUCAUAAAACAUCUCACCACCAUCAAAUAGCAUAUCAUCUUAUUGGCUUUGCUAUGUACAUGUUUUUGUUCUCAUCUCUGUCUUUCAACAUUUUGUUCUAAUUUAUAUUCUAGCUGCAUUAGUUAGAAUAUACCAACUCAUUUAGUAUGACUUUUCUUAAUUGAAUGUUCCUAUCUAAUUUUCCUCAUGAGGCUAUAUAAUCAAGAUUUUUUUUACAUUUUAGAUUGAAAAGGAACUACUGAAUUUGGUUAGUGCAUUGGGUAUAAUCAAUUGCUCAACAAGCAUCAAUUUACUUUUCAGUUCUAUCCAUUAUUUUUCCAUAGUCUGGAUAUGGAUGAAUUCAUUGGUCGAGUGACUAUUAAAGAUAAAUGUUCAACUCCUUUACCUAAUCGGCAUAGUUAAGAAGUAGCUUAUAUACAGUUAUAUCUCUUUGAAUUUUCAAGAUUCUGGCCUAAUAACUAAGGACUCUAUUGCUUUUGGGAAUUUGGUUAUAUCUGUUAGCUAUUUUGGGGACUUUGUUUAUAUUGGAGUUUGGUUAUAUAUAGUAGAAUUACUUUUGUUUUGAGAUACUUUGAAGUGCUGCUGCUAGAAGAGCAGUACACAGUGCUCCACUUAUUAAUGCUGGAGAUUGUCCUGGACAAUCAAGCCUAGUUUUGAAUCUAUUUAAAAUAAUUUUAUUUCUGAGACUUGAGACUGAAUAAGUUUGCUUGCCUUUUUAUCCUAGCAUAAUUUUAGUACUUUAAUCUGGUGGUUAUACACUAAAGAAAGUUUAUCAAUAUGUGAGGACUGAUUGAUUCGUUAAAUAGGUGGGUGUUGCAGACUUUCGCCGGCUGAAUUUUGAGGCUUUAUUAAGAAGAUGGAAGUCCUGGUUGUUGCUGAAUUGAGCAACCAAUCAAGCGGGCACAACUGAAGCAAAGAAGGAGAAGGAAAUAGUGGUUGAAGCCGAAGCUGAGAAUGACGAGAAACCGGCACCAUAAAAGUUGUUGUUCCUCCUAAAACAGAAGUUAAGAAUAGUAAAGCCAUAUUAGUCAAAGUGGAAGAACACCAACAACAGAAACAGAAGCACAAAAUAUUUGAUAUGACAGUUAAAAGACAAAUUUUACCCUUCAUUAUUCAUAUGUAAAAAUUUUCUUAUCAUCAUUUUCUUUUCCCCUGUCCUAUUUCAAUUUUUACAGGAAGACAAUUUUUACUCUUCAUUAUUGUUCUCUCUUUCUUCCCUCCCUAUCCCUUUUUAAGUUUGUGCAUAAAUUCUCAAACCGUUAUUUCCUUUUUGAUUCCUU